Molecule: unclassified non-coding RNA, 240 nt
Filed under: soil metagenome
Description: partial contains 5.8S ribosomal RNA, internal transcribed spacer 2, and large subunit ribosomal RNA
Source: RNAcentral
AACGCACGAGACCUGCGGACCUGCGGAGGGAUCAUUAAAAAGAUCGACCCAAAAUAUGGACGAUCAAAUCCAUAUCCACCUUGUGUGCACUUAUUGACCGUUCGCUUUGGCAGGAGUUGUCUUCGAUCCGGCGCAACCCUUAAAAUUUUAUUAGGGGGGGUUAGGGAUCGAAGCGGUGAGGGGGGAAUAGUCCACCUCGGCCUGCCAGAGUUUUUCCAAUAUCCACACUUUUUUAAACCC